GCAGCUCACUUGUUUUUAAAAAUGGCCUUGGUCAAUGCCAGGUCUGGUCUAAUAAGACUUUUAUUUUAAAUGACUUUUUUUUUACCUGUCAUGACUUGGAUUUCCUAUUUUUAACUGAGACGUGGACUGGUGUUGUUUGCUGAAACCUAUCAGAAAAAUGCCCUUGCAACCUCAAUCACUGCUGAGUUUCUUUCUACCCCAGUGUGAUAAGAUUGAGUUCGUGGGCAGUGGAGGAGACAGGAGACAACAAAACAGGUUCAAGACAUCCUAAAACAAAAUCUCAACAGUGGUUGGACGACCAUACUCAUUCUCUUUGACAGGCUUGUCACAAAGCUGAGCGGAGAUGGAGGAAAGAUCACUACACUGUCUCAUUUGAGAUUUUUAAAAAUUGCCUGGUGAAUUUUCAGAAUGUGGCCAAGAAAGCCAGGGCUAAAUCUUUUUCAGAUUUAAUCAGCAAACAUUGUCAUAGACCUAAAAUUUUGUUUACAAAUAUAAAUUCAAUAAUUAAUCCUCGUCUUUUGUGUACUGUCAUUUGUGAAAAGUUUUUCAUUGAUAAAACUGAGAAUAUUCUAUCUAC
This is a long non-coding RNA of Myxocyprinus asiaticus (Chinese sucker), 577 nucleotides long. RefSeq lists it as uncharacterized. The transcript has 3 exons. The record is from RefSeq and is a predicted model, not a curated record. NCBI's taxonomy places the organism in Eukaryota, Metazoa, Chordata, Actinopteri, Cypriniformes, Catostomidae.